GAUGAACGCUGGCGGCGUGCCUAAUACAUGCAAGUCGAGCGAACGGACGAGAAGCUUGCUUCUCUGUUGUUAGCGGCGGACGGGUGAGUAACACGUGGAUAACCCACCUAUAAGACUGGGAUAACUUCGGGAAACCGUAGCUAGUACCGGAUAAUAUUUUGAACCGCUUGGUUCAAAAGCGAUAGACGGUCUUGCUGUCACUUAUAGACGGAUCCGCGCUGCAUUAGCUAGUUGGUAAGGUAACGGCUUACCAAGGCAACGAUGCAUAGCCGACCUGAGAGGGUGAUCGGCCACACUGGAACUGAGACACGGUCCAGACUCCUACGGGAGGCAGCAGUAGGGAAUCUUCCGCAAUGGGCGAAAGCCUGACGGAGCAACGCCGCGUGAGUGAUGAAGGUCUUCGGAUCGUAAAACUCUGUUAUUAGGGAAGAACAUAUGUGUAAGUAACUGUGCACAUCUUGACGGUACCUAAUCAGAAAGCCACGGCUAACUACGUG
RNAcentral lists this ribosomal RNA (497 nucleotides) under uncultured bacterium. RNAcentral describes it as "partial 16S ribosomal RNA". It matches the Rfam family "Bacterial small subunit ribosomal RNA", at positions 28 to 507 of the family's 1533-position model. The record is from RNAcentral.